Molecule: ribosomal RNA, 503 nt
Filed under: uncultured bacterium
Lineage: Bacteria
Description: partial 16S ribosomal RNA
Rfam family: Bacterial small subunit ribosomal RNA
Source: RNAcentral
GAUGAACGCUAGCGGCAGGCUUAAUACAUGCAAGUCGAGGGGCAGCAGUUUUGUAGCAAUACAGAAGCUGGCGACCGGCAAACGGGUGCGGAACACGUACGCAACCUUCCUUUAACUGGGAGAUAGCCCACCGAAAGGUGGAUUAAUAUCCCAUAAUAUAACUGAAUGGCAUCAUUUAGCUAUUAAAGCUCCGGCGGUUAAAGAUGGGCGUGCGUCUGAUUAGGUAGUUGGCGGGGUAACGGCCCACCAAGCCUUCGAUCAGUAGCUGAUGUGAGAGCAUGAUCAGCCAAACGGGCACGGAGACACGGGCCCGACUCCUACGGGAGGCAGCAGUAAGGAAUAUUGGUCAAUGGACGCAAGUCUGAACCAGCCAUGCCGCGUGGAGGAUGAAGGCCCUCUGGGUUGUAAACUUCUUUUCUUUGGGACGAAACCCCUGUUUCUACGGGGACUGACGGUACCAGAGGAAUAAGCACCGGCUAGCUCCGUGCCAGCCGCCGCGGUAA